GAUCCUGGCUCAGGAUGGACGCUGGCGGCGUGCUUAACACAUGCAAGUCGAGCGAAGCACUUAAGUUUGAUUCUUCGGAUGAAGACUUUUGUGACUGGGCGGCGGACGGGUGAGUAACGCGUGGGUAACCUGCCUCAUACAGGGGGAUAACAGUUAGAAAUGGCUGCUAAUACCGCAUAAGACCACAGUACUGCAUGGUACAGUGGUAAAAACUCCGGUGGUAUGAGAUGGACCCGCGU
This 239-nucleotide ribosomal RNA is filed under the name uncultured bacterium. RNAcentral's name for it is "partial 16S ribosomal RNA". It matches the Rfam family "Bacterial small subunit ribosomal RNA", at positions 15 to 236 of the family's 1533-position model. The record is from RNAcentral.